AAACUGGCGCUGCUCGGCCUGAGAGGGGAGGGGGUCGCGAACUGCUGCAGCCUCCUCCUCUUUGUCCACAGGAGGGCCACAAAGCUGGAGAAGGGGCUGCAGCACAAGGUCUACAAGAAACGCCUGGGGGAGCUGGGGGUGUUUAGCCUGGAGAAAAGGAGGUUCAGGGGAACCUUCUCUCUCUCUACAACUGGCUAAGAGGCGGCUGCAGCCAGCUGGGGCUCGGCCUCUUCUCUCAGGCAACCAGCAAUAGAACAAGAGAACAUAGCCACAAGCUGCACCAGGGGAGGUUUAGGCUGGAUAUUUGAAGGAAUUUCUUCACAAGGAUGAUUAGGCAUUGGAAUGGGGUGCCCAGGGAGGUGGUGAGGUCGCCAUCCCUGGGGGUGUUUAAGGAAAGACUGGACAUGGCAGUCGGUGGUGUUUGGUCAUAGGUUGAACAUAGGAGGGAUCUCCGAGGACUUUUACAACCUAAUUGAUUCUGUGAUUCUGAGUGAGCACCUUCAAGCCGCUACAGGAAAGUAACAGGAGCUCAGCUGGAAGCAGCGGGGGGAUCAUUUGUCCAGCCACAAGAGCAGUCUACAAAGGCUGCUGCAAAUGCAGCGUUUACACAGGUCUUAGGGAAGACCGAGCAGGUGCCUGAAAGAGAACGUAAUCCACCGCUACUGAAGUAGCAAUCUGCAUCAGGUUUGGGAAACAGUCUGAGCUGAAAAUAGCUAGAUGCUUGGACAGACAUAAUUCCUCAGCUUUUACUUUUUGCCAGAUAUGCUGUUAUAGCCAGAAGUGGAUGUGGAAAUAGGUGGAUCCUUCCAGUGCAGCAUAUUCUAAUCACGAUGUAACAGGCUUGCUAGUGUAGCAGAGAUACCUCUGUCCUGGGCCUGCUCUUUCUUUUGUGAAAAAGCACACCCGGAAGGAUGGCAUGCAGAGAGAAACAAAAAUUUGUUUCCAUACAGAAUGCCUGUGAAAAUUCUCCGUGGGCUUUUAGGGGUCUGUUACAUGGACUCAGUUGAAGAACUGCAGCCCUGACGUGUUUGUCCAAGUGAAAGGAAUAUCUAAGGUGUUUCCUGGUUUAACUCUUGUAGCAACUAAGCCCACACAACCACUUACUCUCUCUUGCCUGUAGCAGGAUGGGGUAGAGAAUCAGAGGGGUGAAAGUGAGAAAGAUCAGGGGUUGAAAUAAAUAUAAGGAAAAAUAACUAAUUGAUUUACUGUUUCCCAUUGGCAGGCAUGUGUUUAGCCAUUUCCAAGAAAGCUGGGCUUCAUCAUUCACAAUGGUGACUUGGGAAGAAAAACACUGUAACUCCAAAUGUCCCCUCCUUCUCUCAUUUUUUAUUGCUGAGAACAUCAUAUGGUCUGGGAUAUCCCUUUGGUCAGUUGGGGUCAGCUGUACCAGCUGUUCCAGCUGUGUCCCCUGAGAAAUUCCUGUGCACCCCGAGCCUGCUCACUGUCAGCGCACCAAGAGAGGCAGAAAAGGUCUUGAUGUUGUGCAAGACCUAAUAAGCAUUAGCUAAAACAUCCCAAUAUUAUUUUGGUCACAAAUACAAAAUGCAGCACCUUAAAAGCUAUUUCUAUGAAAAUUAACUAUCUCAGCAAAAAGCAGUAGAGGUGGCUUCAGUGAAUCAUUAAGAAACAACAGCAAUAGAUUAUUUUUGUACCUGGUUUUCCAGUUACUUGCAUUUCAGUACUGUUCUGUCUGUACUUUCUGUUUUGCCAUAAGGCAGGCGUGCUGCCUUUUCAAGUCAGUACGUGCCACAGCUUGCAGAACUAACCAGAGUUGUGUAUACACACAUAUAUAGGAUAGAUAUAAUAGGAAGCUCUUAGGUUCUGUGAAUACAUUAAAACAAUGAAAAUAAUUUCAUCUGUCUGGAAUUUACUACAAACUUCAUUACACAUUUUCCUCCUGUGUUUUAUAACUGGAUUUUAUUAGACAUAGUUUCUUCCCUAGAAUAUCCUCUCAUAGUAAUUGAGGUAUUCAGUUAGGUAGUUUGCAUAACUGAGUCAUUAGGUUCUCAUACUAUGUUGGAAGUUUCUGAAUUUUGUCUUCUAAGGCUUUUGUCAUCAUCAGAUACUAAUCUUCUCAUCGUAGCUAAAAUUGAAGGUCUUGCUACAGCAAAAGACUAAUCACAUUAAUUUCCCUAACUGCUUGAUGGGGGUUAGAGUUGUUUCUUUUUUACUUAUAGAAUUUUUCCCCAUAAGUUGCUGGAGACUAACUACUGGGUACUUGUGAGUGCUUGACCCAAACAAAGAAGUGGCCAAGGGAAAGGGUAGCACUGGGCUGCACCUUUUGCUUUUGGGUCUCUGGGAGUUGUCUCUCGGAGGGGGAGAUAACGCCAGGUUUGGGGCAGUUCAUCUCUUGCUCUCGGCAUUGGAGAGAGAGGACGGUCGGGCUGCUGCUUGCUGCAGGAAGAGUUCACUGUCACCACCCUGUCCCAUCCUGGGAAAUCUACCGUCAUCUGCUUGGGUGCCCAGGAAUCCUGAGCUCGCCUCCUCCUGCCCUGCUGGGCCGACCCUGUCCCACCGCCGCUGCUUCUUCAGCAUUGCUUUGAGGCUUUUCUGCUACUCUGUAGCCCUGCACUGCCCAGCCCUGCCGGGACACCCCUGCCUCCAGCUGCCAGCACAGAGCUCCUCAUCUCAUCCACCAGCCCGGGACUUUCCACCCUUCCAGCUCGGCCUCUCGGAGUCCUGCAGGGGCACCGAGAUCAAACUGCCCCGGGCUUUCUGUGAAAGAAAGCCCUCGAGGUUCCUGGUUCUGUUUAUUAUUAAUGCUGUAGUUGUUGUUUGUUUGUUUUGCCAUAUAUGCUAGUAAAGAACUGUUAUUCCUAUCCUCAUACCUCUGCCUGAAAGCCCCUUUAAUUUUCUAAAUUAGAAUAAUUUGGAGGGUGGGGAUUUGAAUUCUCCACCUCUAGGGAGGUGCUGGCCCUCCCUAGCAGACACCUGUCUUUCAAACCAAGACACUGCCAAAUGUACUUCUGUUAUGUUACUUUAUGCUCUUUGAAAUAAGGUGCUGAUUUUCUUUUGCAGAACAAACAAGCAACAAGUCAGACACCAGGUGGUGCUGAAGACUGGCCAGAAAAGAAAGUGAACUGAGUGCAUGUUCAAAAAGAAUGAGAAGCAAAAACCAACAGCAAGAGAUUCAGUAUCUGAUUUCAGUAAAUUGGGAACGACGUGCUGUAACGUCAGUGAGCAGACACUACAAUCAAGAAGUCAUUUUCCCAGGAUGCAGGACAUCUUCUGUGCCACGGAUAUCACUGCUUUGGUUUCAGCUCAGCCAUGUUGGUUUAGGUGGUGUUCACUUGGAAAGAGACUUGAUGCAAAACGCUCGUAAGUACAUGGAACAUAGAAAAAUAUGGUUUUUAUUUACUGAAUCAAUUGAUUUAUUCCUUGAUUAUUGGUUUUAAUGUUCAUGGCAAACUGACUUACGAGUGCACUGUUCUUUUAUGACUGAUUUCAGCAUUCAUGAAUCUUUUGUGGGGAGUACUUGUGAAGAAAUAUUUUGACUUCGUUACUGCAGUUGUUUUUUAUUCCAAUAGCACUUACAUUCUAAUGGUAUCAUAAGAAAAAAAAACAACUGAAAAUAGUAAAAUUAAAGCAUAGUUUUAGAUUUCAGUGGAAGUUAAUAUUAUGGUUGCUUAUGGUUGCUAAUACAUAUGUAGGCUUCUACAUUUAAAAAUCUGUGAGUAUGCACUGACUCUUAAAAAAAUCAAAAGAAAAUUCCAAGAAUGCAACAUUCUAAAUUCAUUCCUAUUUGUUGGGUGUCAACAAAUAUUUAAGAACCUAACUUCUGAGACAAAUUAUGUUUGCAGGUUUGAAAAUUAAAAUAAGAUUUAAAAAGAAAGUGAUUUUUUCCUUAUGUGUAUACAGUAUGAAAAAGGGAUGUUGAAACAAAGUUUUGAGUGCCACAAUAUAUUUGAGAAAAUAAAAUGUCAUUUACAGUGUUGUUUCUAAAGCGAGCUUUGAGAGAAAGUCAGCAACAAAAUUACCAGGUUUUAGUCUUCAUGACAUUAGGGGGCACCACAACCUCACAGACUUGGAAUGAUGUAAGUUAAAGUAUGGUUACUUUUCCCGUCCAAAGUAAACAGGGGACAGCAUAAAACAAAAUCAGCUCCUGGAAUCAUUCUCUAGUGCGAGGUUAUGAUACAGUUCUUAAUAAAAUUUCAAACAGAAGACAGCCCCUACAUUCAGUAGAGUAUAGAUGACACCCUCCUUUUUCUAAGGGUAAUAAAAUUAACAGACUAAUGGAUACUAUAUAUACAUCCUCCUUUCAAGUCUAUUUAAAUCUUGAAGUUUCCUUUCAGCUGAAGCCUCUAAGGUAUCACAGUGUUAGUUCAAUCAGUGGAGUGAAUCUCUGUGUGGGCAGGGACUACAGAGUGAGCUUGGGACAGAGCUGCUUUAAAUCCGGGUCCUUGGACUGGGUGUCAUGCCUGGUGUAAUCACCAUAAGCUAUCAGUGCACACCACCAAACACGGCCGUGCUGCACGGAUGACGUGUAAAUCUCACACUGCAAGGGGGGACAUUGCCAGUCUUAGCCCAAGACAGGCAGACGUGGCAGAUGAUUUACUUAGUAGGCGAUUUCCUCAGCAGACCUAUCGAGGAAGAAGGUGUCUCUUCAGAGGGCUGGUGUGCUUGAAGAAGGACAACAGCUGUGAUUUCAAGAUCUGUUUUGCAGGCCUGAAAAACAAGAUGCCUUGCUAUUGAUCCUCUACAGCUGAAAUGAUGGCGUGCUUGAUGUAUCAGAGAUAAGAAGCUGGACAACAAGCUUAUAAGCAAGAUGCCUGUCAUUCCUGGAAGACUAACACUGGUCUCCCUAGUGUUCUUACAGCUUGACCUAGACAACUGAGCUCUGAAGGAUGAUUUUUGAUGGAAAUCCACACUGUAAAAAAUAUCCACAUGUAACAUUGAAGAGUAUAUGUUCUACUGCAAAAAAUGAAUCAUAUGAUAGUAGUGUGCUUUGAGUACAGAUGAAGUAAUCAAACAAUUAAAAUGUCAUGAAGGGAGAUGACUAGCAGUAGGGCAAAGUAUGACAUGAUAUAUGAGAAACUCAUCUAAUUUAAUUAAGUGGAAAGUAUGACUCAUAGUCUUUGGAGCUGGGCUGGGGAGUGACGAUUCCACAAAGUAAAGCAACGAUCUGAUGCUACAGUUUCUAGUUUCUCUAUUGUCUGAAUAUGGAUGCCUUAGUAAAAAGCUCGCCCUGACUGGAGGCAGUGGUUAAAACUAACGGAGUAGCUGAGGUCCCGGUUAGUGCAGGAGGCAGACUGGGGCAGAAAUAGCUGUUAGAGAGCUACUACUUCUCUACAGCCUGAAAUAACAAAGAGUGGCAGUGUUUCAGCCUGUAAACCUGCAUGCAUGAUGAUUAAGACCUGGGUUACUAUACUGGCAGAAAUCUUUCUCAUGUGGUCAGUCACACAAAGAAAAGAUUAUUACUCAUUGGCACUCUCAGACUUUCUGUAUCAUAAUUUUGUACCUACAGAUAUAUAUGCUAUGAUUCUGUAUAUGAAUAUAUAGGCUGUGCAGAAUAAUACAUGUAGGACCUAUAAUAAAGUA
This is a long non-coding RNA of Prinia subflava (tawny-flanked prinia), 5538 nucleotides long. RefSeq lists it as uncharacterized. The transcript is spliced from 3 exons. Lineage: Eukaryota; Metazoa; Chordata; Aves; Passeriformes; Cisticolidae. The record is from RefSeq and is a predicted model, not a curated record.